UACGGGGGGGGGAAGCGUUGUUCGGAAUUACUGGGCGUAAAGGGCUCGUAGGCGGCCAACUAAGUCGGACGUGAAAUCCCUCAGCUUAACUGGGGAACUGCGUCCGAUACUGGAUGGCUUGGAUUUGGGAGAGGGAUGCGGAAUUCCAGGUGUAGCGGUGAAAUGCGUAGAUAUCUGGAGGAACACCGGUGGCGAAGGCGGCAUCCUGGACCAAUAUUGACGCUGAGGAGCGAAAGCCAGGGGAGCAAACGGG
RNAcentral lists this ribosomal RNA (253 nucleotides) under uncultured bacterium. Its description in RNAcentral is "partial 16S ribosomal RNA". It matches the Rfam family "Bacterial small subunit ribosomal RNA", at positions 524 to 776 of the family's 1533-position model. The record is from RNAcentral.